Molecule: long non-coding RNA, 466 nt
Filed under: Ananas comosus (pineapple)
Lineage: Eukaryota; Viridiplantae; Streptophyta; Magnoliopsida; Poales; Bromeliaceae
Description: long non-coding RNA (ACOM_LNC002481)
Source: RNAcentral
GAUAGUAUAUAGUUAAAAAAAAUUACCCAUUAAUGUUUUAAGUAUGGAUCUGGAUAUUUGAUACCCCUACUGGACUUUGACCCGACCUGAACCCAACUUUUAAAUAGAUAAAAUCCGGAAUAGUUUUCAAAUCCGGAUCCAGAUCCGGACUUGGUAAAAUAUCCGAUAGUAAAUAAAAAAGACUUAAACUUUUGAAAUUGAAGGAUCAAUUUUAAUAGGACUUAUAGAUGAAUGGUCUCUACGUAUUUUCAUCUUCGGAAAAUCCUAGUCUUUCUUUUUUUUCUAAUUUUUUUACUCUAUUAUUUUUUACUCCUUAUUUUUUAAUUUUAUUUUCGCUUUAGAGUUUUUUUAUGAAACAAUAUUUCUAUCAUCCUCAUAAACGAAGCGGGUAACGUGCUACAUAUCUCUCUCAAAAAAAAAAAAUUUCUAUCACCAUCAUUAUUAGCGAUAAUCCUCUAUAUGCCUG